UGAGUGGCGAACGGGUGAGUAACACGUGAGUAACCUGCCCCUGACUUCGGGAUAAGCCCGGGAAACUGGGUCUAAUACCGGAUACGACUGCCGGACGCAUGUCUGGUGGUGGAAAGUUUUUUCGGUUGGGGAUGGGCUCGCGGCCUAUCAGUUUGUUGGUGAGGUAAUGGCUCACCAAGACGACGACGGGUAGCCGGCCUGAGAGGGCGACCGGCCACACUGGGACUGAGACACGGCCCAGACUCCUACGGGAGGCAGCAGUGGGGAAUAUUGCACAAUGGGGGAAACCCUGAUGCAGCGACGCAGCGUGCGGGAUGACGGCCUUCGGGUUGUAAACCGCUUUCAGCAGGGAAGAAGCGCAAGUGACGGUACCUGCAGAAGAAGUACCGGCUAACUACGUGCCAGCAGCCGCGGUAAUACGUAGGGUACGAGCGUUGUCCGGAAUUAUUGGGCGUAAAGAGCUCGUAGGUGGUUGGUCACGUCUGCUGUGGAAACGCAACGCUUAACGUUGCGCGUGCAGUGGGUACGGGCUGACUAGAGUGCAGUAGGGGAGUCUGGAAUUCCUGGUGUAGCGGUGAAAUGCGCAGAUAUCAGGAGGAACACCGGUGGCGAAGGCGGGACUCUGGGCUGUAACUGACACU
This 641-nucleotide ribosomal RNA is filed under the name Brevibacterium sp. I14A-00827. RNAcentral's name for it is "bacterial SSU rRNA". It matches the Rfam family "Bacterial small subunit ribosomal RNA", at positions 92 to 747 of the family's 1533-position model. RNAcentral also lists the same sequence under 1 other name. The record is from RNAcentral. Lineage: Bacteria; Bacillati; Actinomycetota; Actinomycetes; Micrococcales; Brevibacteriaceae.